Hyaena hyaena (striped hyena) is the source of this 332-nucleotide long non-coding RNA. RefSeq lists it as uncharacterized. The transcript is spliced from 3 exons. The record is from RefSeq and is a predicted model, not a curated record. Lineage: Eukaryota; Metazoa; Chordata; Mammalia; Carnivora; Hyaenidae.
UCCUCAUCCAGCACCGCCACGUGCCUUGCCUCCUCCAUGUAGCAUGCAUUGGUGCCAGUGUCUGGCAUGGAUGACUCAGUCAGGACCUGCCCAUCAGCCUUCGUUCACAGUGUCCCUCAAGUCUGGAAGUACAGUGUCUGAGUCAUUUGCGUCUUCAUGAAACCCAGUACAAGAUUUGGCAUAGGUCGUUGCUUCUGCCACUCAACAUCCUCUCAUAUUUGGAGUCUGCAAAUACACUGAAGACAGACCACAUCUCUGUUCUGCACUAAAAGCUCCUGGGCAAUGUGGUCAAGAAUGUGCACUACUCUACUAAUAUACUGAAACAGAAGUUA